CAUCUCUGAGACAGGUACGAUGAACAAGGUCAGUGUUAAAUAGACUCAGAGACAUCAGCUGACCUCUGGUGGCUCCUCCACUCUGGGAGUGACAGGACGAGGAACAGGCUUAUCUUUCUUGGGGGCUGGAUCCUAUCCUUGACUUUUGGUUUGGGUCUUUUCACCAGUGGCUUGAGGACUGAGGCAGAGAGUCCUGCCUCUAACUCUUCAGGUCCUUCAGCACAGCAAGACGAGUUUCCUGCAAUCUGGCGACCACACACAGAAACAAAGCACUGCAGGAGAUGCAGGAGGGAAGGUGUUUCAUGGCAGAGACAGUGUUCACCAAGACUGCUUAAUAAGCCAAAAACUGUAUAUGUCCCACAUAUCCUUCUUGGCUAUAUUUAGUUCAAACCUCGCUCAAAUCCCAUGUGUCAGCAUGAUUUCACUUUGCUUAAGCCUCCAACAUAUAAUUUCUUCACCACUUGGGGGCAGCAGAAACAAGCUAUGUACACACGACUGACCCCUCAGUGUACAGUAAAGGAUAAGAGCAGAGAGUGAACCAGAACAGCAAAGUAGCAGCUGGAAAACCAAAACAAUGAUCUUAAAGAUGCUAAAAGACUCCAUGGAGUUUAGGAUAACUGCAAUGUCUGGUGAUAAUUUUCUUUCAUUAUGAGUGGCCCCCUUUGCAUUUACAUAUCUAUUGUAAAUAUAAAAAUACUGAUGAUAGCUGCUUUAAAGCCAGUAUGUGCAAACUUUAAACAUUUUAAACAGGUGCCCCCAGUAGUAAUAUCAAAAAAGGCAGCUGCUACACAAGUUUGGGGACUUCAUAGUUUGCUGUGCACCUGUGAUGGCUCAAGAUAUUAUACUACUUCCCCAAAGGAUUACAGCAAACACGAAGCUGAAAUGUGGACUAAACACUGCACCAACAACAUUUUAGCCCACUCUUUGGCCUCCAUUUCCUCCAUCAUACGCCUCCUUUUGUCGAGCUGACUCAAGUCAUCCAGCGGAGGAAGGCUGGCCUCCCAAGCUCGUUUGGCACUCGCUCGCUCUAUCAUUUCCACUUCUGC
Lates calcarifer (barramundi perch) is the source of this 1046-nucleotide long non-coding RNA. RefSeq lists it as uncharacterized. The record is from RefSeq and is a predicted model, not a curated record. Lineage: Eukaryota; Metazoa; Chordata; Actinopteri; Centropomidae. The transcript is spliced from 4 exons.